GAUCUGAAAUCAGGUAGGGCUACCCGCUGAACUUAAGCAUAUCAAUAAGCGGAGGAAAAGAAACUAACAAGGAUUCCCCUAGUAACGGCGAGUGAAGCGGGAAGAGCUCAAAUUUAAAAUCUAGUUUGCUUGCAAACUCGAGUUGUAGUCUGAAGAAACGUUUUCCAUGGAAGCUGAGGCACAAGUCCUUUGGAACAGGGCAUCAUAGAGGGUGAGAAUCCCGUCCAUGGUCUCAAGUCUUUCAUUUUGUGAUACGUUUUCUAAGAGUCAGGUUGUUUGGGAAUGCAGCCUAAAAUGGGUGGUAAAUUUCAUCUAAAGCUAAAUAUUGGCGAGAGACCGAUAGGGAACAAGUACCGUGAGGGAAAGAUGAAAAGAACUUUGAAAAGAGAGUUAAAAAGUACGUGAAAUUGUUGAAAGGGAACCGU
Molecule: ribosomal RNA, 425 nt
Filed under: uncultured fungus
Lineage: Eukaryota; Fungi
Description: eukaryotic LSU rRNA
Rfam family: Eukaryotic large subunit ribosomal RNA
Source: RNAcentral